GACGAACGCUGGCGGCGUGCCUAAUACAUGCAAGUCGAGCGGACUUUCAAGAAGCUUGCUUUUUGAAAGUUAGCGGCGGACGGGUGAGUAACACGUGGGCAACCUGCCUGCAAGACGGGGAUAACUCCGGGAAACCGGGGCUAAUACCGGAUAAUAUCUUCCUUCGCAUGAAGGAAGGUUGAAAGGCGGCGCAAGCUGCCGCUUGCAGAUGGGCCCGCGGCGCAUUAGCUAGUUGGUGAGGUAACGGCUCACCAAGGCGACGAUGCGUAGCCGACCUGAGGGGGUGGUCGGCCACACUGGGACUGAGACACGGCCCAGACUCCUACGGGAGGCAGCAGUAGGGAAUCUUCCGCAAUAGACGAAAGUCUGACGGAGCAACGCCGCGUGAGCGAAGAAGGUCUUCGGAUCGUAAAGCUCUGUUGUCAGGGAAGAACAAGUACCGUUCGAACAGGGCGGUACCUUGACGGUACCUGACCAGAAAGCCACGGCUAACUACGUG
This 499-nucleotide ribosomal RNA is filed under the name uncultured bacterium. RNAcentral describes it as "partial 16S ribosomal RNA". It matches the Rfam family "Bacterial small subunit ribosomal RNA", at positions 28 to 507 of the family's 1533-position model. The record is from RNAcentral.